This 997-nucleotide long non-coding RNA is filed under the name Sus scrofa (pig). Its description in RNAcentral is "lncRNA (ENSSSCG00065023750.1)". Lineage: Eukaryota; Metazoa; Chordata; Mammalia; Artiodactyla; Suidae. The record is from RNAcentral.
CACUGCUGGCAACAACAAUGGCAUGAUGCAACACCCUGGCUACCGGCAGGUGUGGUCGGUAAUGGAUGGGACUGAAUUUGGAGCCAUCUCAAAGUGAUGACAGACCAUAUGGCCAAUUCCUCUGCCCAAAUAACGUGUGCAUAUGGAAACAGGAAUACAAAGGCAACACGGGACUGUAGAAGCUCAGCCACGAGGGAAAGCAAGCCUUUGGAAAAUCAACUAUGCUGUGAAGACUUUCUCCCUGAGCCUUGCCUUCUUAUCUGGAAUGUUUCAGCCUUGGGAAAAUUGCUUAAAAAGAGCUCUGCUUUCUCUCCCCAGGACUGAUGGUGUACAGAUUGGAUCAUGUAUGGAAUGGAUUCUUAUUUUCCAUAUGCAGAAGCCUAUAUUUUUAAGUAAUUUGCGAGCCGGAUUCCUCAGGAGACGACCAGGUUGCUGGCUUAGUAGAAAAACCCCCCUGAAUUCAGGACCUGAAUUCAGUAAGACCAGAUUCUAGCAUGUACAGAAAAUUUGUCAUGGGAACACCUUUCCUAAUAAUGAGGUCACCAACUAUGCAAACCUAGGAAGAGGGGGAAACAAUACACUAUUCUCACAUGCAAUUCAACUCCACUUAAAGUCAAGGAUAAAGACUUUUUGCUUUUCAAUCUAGAGUCUCCUUAAAACAAAAGGCAGAGACUACAGAGUGGUUCUAUAUCAGCUGAUCUCAGAAAAAUAUACUUGAAGUGCUUAACCUUAAAAUAGGCGAUGAAUCCGGAAGUUGAGUGAGAGAACAAGAAUUAAGCAGAAAUAUGAAGUGGACAUGGCUUGUCUUUAAAAUCAUUCCUAUAUUUAGGCUUCUUCCAUACAUCAGAUUCCUUAUGUCUGGUGGCUUGUUUUCUCAGUUUAUGGCUUCUAUAUCAUUCUCACCCCCCCCCGUGAUGUUUCUCUGCUGAAAUGACUUUCUUUUAGAAUCUAGGGAAGUGAUAAUAAAUUACAGCUAUUAAUAAUAUUAAUAAUGAUU